This 497-nucleotide ribosomal RNA is filed under the name uncultured bacterium. Its description in RNAcentral is "partial 16S ribosomal RNA". It matches the Rfam family "Bacterial small subunit ribosomal RNA", at positions 28 to 507 of the family's 1533-position model. The record is from RNAcentral.
GAUGAACGCUGGCGGCGUGCCUAAUACAUGCAAGUCGAGCGAACAGACGAGGAGCUUGCUCCUCUGACGUUAGCGGCGGACGGGUGAGUAACACGUGGAUAACCUACCUAUAAGACUGGGAUAACUGCGGGAAACCGGAGCUAAUACCGGAUAAUAUAUUGAACCGCAUGGUUCAAUAGUGAAAGACGGUUUGGCUGUCACUUAUAGAUGGAUCCGCGCCGCAUUAGCUAGUUGGUAAGGUAACGGCUUACCAAGGCGACGAUGCGUAGCCGACCUGAGAGGGUGAUCGGCCACCCUGGAACUGAGACACGGUCCAGACUCCUACGGGAGGCAGCAGUAGGGAAUCUUCCGCAAUGGGCGAAAGCUUGACGGAGCAACGCCGCGUGAGUGAUGACGGUCUUCGGAUCGUAAAACUCUGUUAUUAGGGAAGAACAAAUGUGUAAGUAACUAUGCACGUCUUGACGGUACCUAAUCAGAAAGCCACGGCUAACUACGUG